RNAcentral lists this ribosomal RNA (497 nucleotides) under uncultured bacterium. Its description in RNAcentral is "partial 16S ribosomal RNA". It matches the Rfam family "Bacterial small subunit ribosomal RNA", at positions 28 to 507 of the family's 1533-position model. The record is from RNAcentral.
GAUGAACGCUGGCGGCGUGCCUAAUACAUGCAAGUCGAGCGAACGGACGAGAAGCUUGCUUCUCUGAUGUUAGCGGCGGACGGGUGAGUAACACGUGGAUAACCUACCUAUAAGACUGGGAUAACUUCGGGAAACCGGAGCUAAUACCGGAUGAUAUUUUGAACCGCAUGGUUCAAAAGUGAAAGACGGUCUUGCUGUCACUUAUAGAUGGAUCCGCGCUGCAUUAGCUAGUUGGUAAGGUAACGGCUUACCAAGGCAACGAUGCAUAGCCGACCUGAGAGGGUGAUCGGCCACACUGGAACUUGGACGCGGUCCAGACUCCUACGGGAGGCAGCAGUAGGGAAUCUUCCGCAAUGGGCGAAAGCCUGACGGAGCAACGCCGCGUGAGUGAUGAAGGUCUUCGGAUCGUAAAACUCUGUUAUUAGGGAAGAACAUAUGUGUAAGUAACUGUGCACAUCUUGACGGUACCUAAUCAGAAAGCCACGGCUAACUACGUG